UACGUAGGGUGCAAGCGUUAAUCGGAAUUACUGGGCGUAAAGCGUGCGCAGGCGGUUGUGCAAGACCGAUGUGAAAUCCCCGGGCUUAACCUGGGAAUGGCAUUGGUGACUGCACAGCUAGAGUGUGUCAGAGGGGGGUAGAAUUCCACGUGUAGCAGUGAAAUGCGUAGAGAUGUGGAGGAAUACCGAUGGCGAAGGCAGCCCCCUGGGAUAACACUGACGCUCAUGCACGAAAGCGUGGGGAGCAAACAGG
Molecule: ribosomal RNA, 253 nt
Filed under: uncultured bacterium
Lineage: Bacteria
Description: partial 16S ribosomal RNA
Rfam family: Bacterial small subunit ribosomal RNA
Source: RNAcentral